CCUACGGGCGGCAGCAGUGGGGAAUAUUGGACAAUGGGGGCAACCCUGAUCCAGCCAUGACGCGUGUGUGAAGAAGGCCCUCGGGUUGUAAAGCACUUUCAGUGAGGAAGAACGCCUGGUGGUUAAUACCCAUCAGGAAAGACAUCACUCACAGAAGAAGCACCGGCUAACUCCGUGCCAGCAGCCGCGGUAAUACGGAGGGUGCGAGCGUUAAUCGGAAUUACUGGGCGUAAAGCGCGCGUAGGUGGCUUGAUAAGCCGGUUGUGAAAGCCCCGGGCUCAACCUGGGAACGGCAUCCGGAACUGUCAAGCUAGAGUGCAGGAGAGGAAGGUAGAAUUCCCGGUGUAGCGGUGAAAUGCGUAGAGAUCGGGAGGAAUACCAGUGGCGAAGGCGGCCUUCUGGACUGACACUGACACUGAGGUGCGAAAGCGUGGGUAGCAAACAGGAUUAGAUACCCUAGUAGUC
Molecule: ribosomal RNA, 465 nt
Filed under: Vreelandella stevensii
Lineage: Bacteria; Pseudomonadati; Pseudomonadota; Gammaproteobacteria; Oceanospirillales; Halomonadaceae
Description: partial 16S ribosomal RNA
Rfam family: Bacterial small subunit ribosomal RNA
Source: RNAcentral